Molecule: ribosomal RNA, 470 nt
Filed under: uncultured bacterium
Lineage: Bacteria
Description: bacterial SSU rRNA
Rfam family: Bacterial small subunit ribosomal RNA
Source: RNAcentral
GAUGAACGCUGGCGGCGUGCUUAACACAUGCAAGUCGAACGAAGAUGCCGGAGUGCUUGCACUUUGGCAGACUGAGUGGCGGACGGGUGAGUAACGCGUGGGUAACCUGCCUUAUACAGGGGGAUAACAGUUGGAAACGACUGCUAAUACCGCAUAAGCGCACGGUAUCGCAUGAUACAGUGUGAAAAACUCCGGUGGUAUAAGAUGGACCCGCGUCUGAUUAGCUAGUUGGUGAGGUAACGGCCCACCAAGGCGACGAUCAGUAGCCGGACUGAGAGGUUGAACGGCCACAUUGGGACUGAGAUACGGCCCAGACUCCUACGGGAGGCAGCAGUGGGGAAUAUUGCACAAUGGGCGCAAGCCUGAUGCAGCAACGCCGCGUGGAGGAAGACGGUUUUCGGAUUGUAAACUCCUGUUCUUAGUGAAGAAUAAUGACGGUAGCUAAGGAGCAAGCCACGGCUAACUACGUG